RNAcentral lists this long non-coding RNA (472 nucleotides) under Homo sapiens (human). RNAcentral describes it as "HSALNT0030997". Lineage: Eukaryota; Metazoa; Chordata; Mammalia; Primates; Hominidae. The record is from RNAcentral.
UUCUGGAUCCAGCUGUCCUGGUUGCUGCCUAACUUUCAGCCGUGUGUCCAGCAUAUCUGUGAACUGAUCUGGGGCCAGAGCUCAGGGAAAAACAGAGGUCAGGACAGCAGCUUGGUCUUCCCAGGUGAGGAACUGAGGACUGGCCUGCAUAGAUUUGUGCAGUAGGGAGGGCCGAGGUAGGGGCAGAUAGAUCACCAGACAGGCGGAGAAGGACAGGAGUACAGAUGGAGGGACCAGGACACAGAAUGCAAAAGACUGGCAGGAGCAGGUUUGCGAGCUCGAAUACCUUUGCUCCACUGCCACACGCAGCACCGGGACUGGGCGUCUGGAGCUUAAGUCUGGGGGUCUGAGCCUGGGACCGGCAAAUCCGCGCAGCGCAUCGCGCCCAGUCUCGGAGACUGCAACCACCGCCAAGGAGUACGCGCGGCAGGAAACUUCUGCGGCCCAAUUUCUUCCCCAGCUUUGGCAUCUC